RNAcentral lists this ribosomal RNA (226 nucleotides) under uncultured bacterium. RNAcentral's name for it is "partial 16S ribosomal RNA". It matches the Rfam family "Bacterial small subunit ribosomal RNA", at positions 15 to 240 of the family's 1533-position model. The record is from RNAcentral.
GAUCAUGGCUCAGGAUGAACGCUAGCGGCAGGCCUAAUACAUGCAAGUCGAACGAGCUUCAGUCCUUCGGGACUGAGGUUAGUGGCGCACGGGUGCGUAACGCGUAUGCAACCUACCUUCCACAGGGGGAUAGCCUUCCGAAAGGAAGAUUAAUACCGCAUGACAUCACGAGAGGGCAUCCUUUUGUGAUCAAAGCUGAGGCGGUGGAAGAUGGGCAUGCGUGCCA